AUUGAACGCUGGCGGCAGGCCUAACACAUGCAAGUCGAACGGAUGAAGGGAGCUUGCGCCUGGAUUCAAAGGCGGCCGGGAGAGUAAUGCAUCGGAAUCUGCCUGGGAGGGGGGGAUAGCGUCCGGAAACGGGCGCUAAUACCGCGUAAGUCGUGAGGGAGAGAGGGAGGGAUCGUCGGAAAUCCCGCAAUAAGCUGAACCGAGGUCGGAUUAGCGAGUUGGUGGGGUAAAGGCCUAGCACGGGGACGAUCCGAAAAUGGCCGGAGAGGAUGAUCAGUCACACUUGAACGGCGACACGGUCCAGAGUCCUACGGGCGGCGCCAGUGGGGACUAUUGGACAAUGGGCGAAAGCCUUAUCCAGCCGUGCCGCGUGUGUGAAGAAGGUCUUCGGAUUGUAAAGCACUUUAAGUGGGGAGGAAGGGCAGUAAGUUAAUACCUCGCUGUUUUGACGUUACCAACAGAAUAAGCACCGGCUAACUUCGUG
This 484-nucleotide ribosomal RNA is filed under the name uncultured bacterium. RNAcentral describes it as "partial 16S ribosomal RNA". It matches the Rfam family "Bacterial small subunit ribosomal RNA", at positions 29 to 507 of the family's 1533-position model. The record is from RNAcentral.